Molecule: ribosomal RNA, 253 nt
Filed under: uncultured bacterium
Lineage: Bacteria
Description: partial 16S ribosomal RNA
Rfam family: Bacterial small subunit ribosomal RNA
Source: RNAcentral
UACGUAGGGCGCAAGCGUUGUCCGGAAUUAUUGGGCGUAAAGAGCUCGUAGGCGGCCUGUUACGUCUGCUGUGAAAUCCCGGGGCUUAACCCCGGGCGUGCAGUGGAUACGGGCAGGCUGGAGGCAGGCAGGGGAGAACGGAAUUCCCGGUGUAGCGGUGAAAUGCGCAGAUAUCAGGAGGAACACCGGUGGCGAAGGCGGGUCUCUGGGCCGAAACUGACGCUGAGGAGCGAAAGCAUGGGGAGCAAACAGG